Hemicordylus capensis (graceful crag lizard) is the source of this 390-nucleotide long non-coding RNA. RefSeq lists it as uncharacterized. The transcript is spliced from 3 exons. The record is from RefSeq and is a predicted model, not a curated record. NCBI's taxonomy places the organism in Eukaryota, Metazoa, Chordata, Lepidosauria, Squamata, Cordylidae.
GGAAGGCCCAAAUGGGCCAAAGAGCUGGCCAAACAGGCUGGUUCAGGCUGCAUUGAGGCCGUCGGGGGAAGGGGGAACCUCCACGGACAGCCCCCCCACCACCUCAAGGAACUCCCCCAAAGGGAGUAAAAGCAAUUUGAGGUUGGACUGUGUAAGUCUGUCGGAACCCAAAUCUCUGACUUUAUCCACAACUCUACACACUUCUCUCCUGUAAGUUUAUGAUGGCAUGGCAAGCUGGAUUUUCCAUGUGCAUCAGGUAACAGAACACCGUUAUCUGUGAGAAGUUGCUGUAAGAAGCCCUCAUUCAAUAGUGGACACUUUUACUUCCAAGCUUACAAGUUCACUGUGGAAACCACCAAGGUAACACAGAUGUCUCCUGCAACAAUCAUA